CCUACGGGUGGCUGCAGUGGGGAAUAUUGGACAAUGGGGGCAACCCUGAUCCAGCCAUGCCGCGUGUGUGAAGAAGGCCCUCGGGUUGUAAAGCACUUUCAGUGAGGAAGAACGCCUGGUGGUUAAUACCCAUCAGGAAAGACAUCACUCACAGAAGAAGCACCGGCUAACUCCGUGCCAGCAGCCGCGGUAAUACGGAGGGUGCGAGCGUUAAUCGGAAUUACUGGGCGUAAAGCUCGCGUAGGUGGCUUGAUAAGCCGGUUGUGAAAGCCCCGGGCUCAACCUGGGAACGGCAUCCGGAACUGUCAAGCUAGAGUGCAGGAGAGGAAGGUAGAAUUCCCGGUGUAGCGGUGAAAUGCGUAGAGAUCGGGAGGAAUACCAGUGGCGAAGGCGGCCUUCUGGACUGACACUGACACUGAGGUGCGAAAGCGUGGGUAGCAAACAGGAUUAGAUACCCUAGUAGUC
Molecule: ribosomal RNA, 465 nt
Filed under: Vreelandella stevensii
Lineage: Bacteria; Pseudomonadati; Pseudomonadota; Gammaproteobacteria; Oceanospirillales; Halomonadaceae
Description: partial 16S ribosomal RNA
Rfam family: Bacterial small subunit ribosomal RNA
Source: RNAcentral